GACGAACGCUGGCGGCGUGCCUAACACAUGUAAGUCGCACGGGACUGGAGGGCAACUUCCAGUUCAGUGGCAGACGGGUGCGUAACACGUGAGGAACUUGUCCAACGGCGGGGGAUAGCCGGCCCAACGGCCGGGUAAUACCGCAUACGAUCGUUCGGGGGCAUCCCUGAACGAGGAAAGCAGCCGCAAGGUUGCGCCGAUGGAGAGUCUCGCGGCCUAUCAGCUAGUUGGCGGGGUAAUGGCCCACCAAGGCGACGACGGGUAGCUGGUCUGAGAGGAUGGCCAGCCACAUUGGGACUGAGACACGGCCCAGACUCCUACGGGAGGCAGCAGUGGGGAAUCUUGCGCAAUGGCCGCAAGGCUGACGCAGCGA
Molecule: ribosomal RNA, 373 nt
Filed under: uncultured bacterium
Lineage: Bacteria
Description: bacterial SSU rRNA
Rfam family: Bacterial small subunit ribosomal RNA
Source: RNAcentral